AAAGGUGCAUGAGUGGUGUUUGGUUUGUUACGGGUGGUUGGCUCUUUGCUUGCGCAACAACUUCCACCUGGCUUACCUCUUCAGUCUUGUGUCGAUGCUUGUAUCGCAUUGAACGCAUGGUGGGUUUCUUGUGUUGCAUACCUAAUUGAUGGUAUCAUUCGAAGAAUUGAUGUCUAUUUUCGUCUUGUAUUGCAUACGCGAUGUGAGAUGAACCUUGAGUAGCCUUUGUGUUCCACUCUUUCGAUGUACACGCAUUGGUCUUGUGGCCCAUUAAGUGUUGCUUGGUCUCAUGAAUAUGGAACCUGGUGUGGGCAUGGGUUCUUUUAUUGGUUCCUUGUUUGCCCUAGUUUAGCUUUUCUAAUACGAUUGUCUAUCAUGUUUUAACGUGGUAGGCUAUAUAUCGAAUAUGAAUGCUACCUGGUUGAUCCUGCCAGUAGUCAUAUG
Molecule: unclassified non-coding RNA, 444 nt
Filed under: Antennaria microphylla
Lineage: Eukaryota; Viridiplantae; Streptophyta; Magnoliopsida; Asterales; Asteraceae
Description: partial external transcribed spacer
Source: RNAcentral